AUUGAACGCUGGCGGCAGGCCUAACACAUGCAAGUCGAGCGGAUGAAGGGAGCUUGCUCCUGGAUUCAGCGGCGGACGGGUGAGUAAUGCCUAGGAAUCUGCCUGGUGGUGGGGGAUAACGUCCGGAAACGGGCGCUAAUACCGCAUACGGCCUGCGGGAGGAAGUGGGGGAUCUUCGGACCUCACGCUAUCAGAUGAGCCUAGGUCGGAUUAGCUAGUUGGUGGGGUAAAGGCCUACCACGGCGACGAUCCGUAACUGGUCUGAGAGGAUGAUCAGUCACCCUGGAACUGAGACACGGCCCAGAGACCGACGGGAGGCAGCAGUGGGGAAUAUUGGACGAUGGGGGGAAGCCUGAUCCAGCCGUGCCGCGUGUGUGCAGAAGGUCUUCGGAUUGUAAAGCACUUUAAGUUGGGAGGAAGGGCAGUACGUUAAUACCUUGCUGUUUUGACGGUACCAAGAGAAUAAGCACCGGCUAACUUCGUG
RNAcentral lists this ribosomal RNA (484 nucleotides) under uncultured bacterium. Its description in RNAcentral is "partial 16S ribosomal RNA". It matches the Rfam family "Bacterial small subunit ribosomal RNA", at positions 30 to 507 of the family's 1533-position model. The record is from RNAcentral.